GCCUACGGGAGGCAGCAGUAGGGAAUCUUCCACAAUGGGCGAGAGCCUGAUGGAGCAACGCCGCGUGGGUGAAGAAGGUCUUCGGAUCGUAAAACCCUGUUGUUAGAGAAGAAAGUGCGUGAGAGUAACUGUUCACGUUUCGACGGUAUCUAACCAGAAAGCCACGGCUAACUACGUGCCAGCAGCCGCGGUAAUACGUAGGUGGCAGGCGUUAUCCGGAUUUAUUGGGCGUAAAGGGAACGCAGGCGGUCUUUUAAGUCUGAUGUGAAAGCCUUCGGCUUAACCGGAGUAGUGCAUUGGAAACU
Molecule: ribosomal RNA, 305 nt
Filed under: uncultured bacterium
Lineage: Bacteria
Description: bacterial SSU rRNA
Rfam family: Bacterial small subunit ribosomal RNA
Source: RNAcentral